GACGAACGCUGGCGGCGUGCUUAACACAUGCAAGUCGAACGGAAAGGCCCUGCUUUUGUGGGGUGCUCGAGUGGCGAAAGGGUGAGUAACACGUGAGUAACCUGCCCUUUACUUUGGGAUAACUUCAGGAAACUGGGGCUAAUACCGGAUAUGAGCUCCUGCUGCAUGGUGGGGGUUGGAAAGUUUCGGCGGUUGGGGAUGGACUCGCGGUUUAUCAGCUUGUUGGUGGGGUAGUGGAUUACCAAGGCUUUGACGGGUUGCCGGCCUGAGAGGGUGACCGGCCACAUUGGGACUGGGAUACGGCCCAGAGUCCUACGGGAGGCAGCAGUGGGGAAUAUUGCACAAUGGGCGGAAGCCUGAUGCAGCAACGCCGCGUGCGGGAUGACGGCCGUCGGGUUGUAACCCGCUUUCGCCUGUGACGAAGCGUGAGUGACGGUAAUGGGUAAAGAAGCACCGGCUAACUACGUG
This 468-nucleotide ribosomal RNA is filed under the name uncultured bacterium. Its description in RNAcentral is "partial 16S ribosomal RNA". It matches the Rfam family "Bacterial small subunit ribosomal RNA", at positions 28 to 507 of the family's 1533-position model. The record is from RNAcentral.